UACGUAGGUGGCAAGCGUUGUCCGGAAUUAUUGGGCGUAAAGCGCGCGCAGGCGGUCCUUUAAGUCUGAUGUGAAAGCCCACGGCUCAACCGUGGAGGGUCAUUGGAAACUGGUCGACUUGAGUGCAGAAGAGGGAAGUGGAAUUCCAUGUGUAGCGGUGAAAUGCGUAGAGAUAUGGAGGAACACCAGAGGCGAAGGCGGCUUCCUGGUCUGUAACUGACACUGAGGCGCGAAAGCGUGGGGAGCAAACAGG
Molecule: ribosomal RNA, 253 nt
Filed under: uncultured bacterium
Lineage: Bacteria
Description: partial 16S ribosomal RNA
Rfam family: Bacterial small subunit ribosomal RNA
Source: RNAcentral